Molecule: ribosomal RNA, 653 nt
Filed under: Sergentomyia darlingi
Lineage: Eukaryota; Metazoa; Arthropoda; Insecta; Diptera; Psychodidae
Description: eukaryotic LSU rRNA
Rfam family: Eukaryotic large subunit ribosomal RNA
Source: RNAcentral
GGAUUCCCUUAGUAGCGGCGAGCGAAGAGGGAGAAGCCCAGCACUAAGCCCAUUAAUCUUUGAAUUGAUUAAUUGGGGAUGCAGUGUAUGGAGAGUUCAUUAGCUUAUUGCAAUAGAUAAGCAGAUUCAAGUCCAUCUUGAAUGGGGCUACUUAUCCCAUAGAGGGUGCCAGGCCCGUAGCAAUUGCUAUCUGUAAUUUGCGAACUUCUCCUAAGAGUCGUGUUGCUUGAUAGUGCAGCACUAAGUGGGUGGUAAACUCCAUCUAAGGCUAAAUAUAACCACGAGACCGAUAGAGAACAAGUACCGUGAGGGAAAGUUGAAAAGAACUCUGAAUAGAGAGUUAAAAAGUACGUGAAACCGUAUAGGGGUUAAGCCCGUUGAAUCUAAAUAUCCGAUUGAUGAAAUUCAAUACUGUUGAUUAUUGACAUCUAUUUGUUUAAUGAUUAUACAGUAUGCACUUUUCAUCUAGUAGGACACUGCAAUCCAUUAGGUUAAAUAUGGUAGCAAUAUCAUAUUUGAAUUUAUCUUAAGAAUUCAUAUAGAUUGUUUAUCUGAUAUAGUAUUAACACUACUAUUCGAUAAAUCUAUAUAAUGGAUUCUGAUAAUAUUCGACUGAUGGAUUGAAAACAAUCAUAUAAUAUACAUAUGUAAUU